Long non-coding RNA from Coregonus clupeaformis (lake whitefish), 343 nucleotides. RefSeq lists it as uncharacterized. The transcript is spliced from 4 exons. Lineage: Eukaryota; Metazoa; Chordata; Actinopteri; Salmoniformes; Salmonidae. The record is from RefSeq and is a predicted model, not a curated record.
CAGUCCUUUUUAAUUCCACUGUGGGAAAUACGGUUAUCUUUUAAGCUUGUUUUCGCUAAGUUAGCAUUAGCUGUUUAGUCACCCAUCGGUUUACUAGCCACAUAGGCUCUUCAGCUCGGUUCAGCUAGCUAGGUAAAUAGCUACAUUUCAAUUUCCAGGCAACAAUGGAGGGUCUCGAAACGAUGUACGAGGAUCCUAAUGCCGUGGACUUCAUUGACUGUGCUGUCUGCACCAAAUCCAUAAGGGGUGAUACCCUGUAUAAGAUUCACCUGACUACAAUACAACACAUCAGGAAAGAGGACACCCUGGUUGCUACUGGACAAGCUACCAGGGAUCAUGAGGU